Molecule: ribosomal RNA, 1407 nt
Filed under: Triticum aestivum (bread wheat)
Lineage: Eukaryota; Viridiplantae; Streptophyta; Magnoliopsida; Poales; Poaceae
Description: partial small subunit ribosomal RNA
Source: RNAcentral
AUGAAGCCAAAAACUGGUAUUGAAUGGAAGAAGAUACAUGAAGACCACAUAAUUAGAUGGGGUUGCUUGGUGUGGCGGUGGGUGGCAGAGGGUCACUCAAGGGAUAUUCAUGGCAUGACUGUCGUUGAACUCUGUGGGAGGUACUUUGAUGAGCUCUUGGAUAGGAGUAUGAUCCUGCCAGGGGAAGGGACAGACCAUUACAGUCGAAAAAUCAAUUCUUACCAACUUCUUGAUAUAAUCCGUGAAAUAUGCAUCUCAAAAGCUAGGGAGGAGAAGCUUGUUUUCACGCUGGAGGAAGGUUGUUGUUUGAACGAGACACAAGGUGCAAUACGUCAUCUUGUGAUAGGCAACAAUUGGGAAAGGGAUAAAGAUUUGUUAGAGAGGAUGCUAGACUUGUCACACAUAUGGUCAUUCCUAGAGUGGACAUCGUUUUUCAUCUCGGACAAUAUGAGCUAUACAAGCAAUGAGUUGUGGUCUGCCAUUGCUGGUCUCAAUCAACUUCAAUAUUUGACGGUUACAGCAAAGGACGUGAUCAGAGAGAGGAACGUGUUAGAUGUUUGUUUGGGUGAAAGUUUGUUGCCACCAAGCAGCCUCGUGAGCCUCACUCUGGUUGGUAUGCUAGUCAGUGUAGCAGAAUGGAUCCAUAAGAUUGAGAUUCUCUCCAAAUUGGUGCUAGAGUGUACCGAAUUGAAGAAAGAUGAUAAUGCCAUACAGGCCAUUGGGUCUCUACCUAAUCUUUCAGUUCUGCGCCUUAAGUGGGAGUCAUUUGCGGGGAAACAGCUCCAUUUCCAGAGCUCAUCUUUCCCGAGUCUCAUGGUGCUGCAGCUUGAUGGGUUAUACAAGGUCCAGUCAGUGUUGUUCGAAGAAGAUGCAACGCCUAAGCUCAAGCUGCUACAAGUUGGUCGGUGUUGGAAACUUAAUGCAUUAUCCGGGCUGCCAGCCCUCAAAAGCCUCAAGGAAAUUCGGUUGGAUGCCCGUAGAAGUGAAACAUUGAAGGCAUCGGUGCAGAAGGAGUCAGGUCAUUAUCAGGAGGAGCUGCAAGACAUGAUCGUGACUCAUGAGGGUACAAUCGUAGAGUUCAUUUAUCCAGAGCUGACACGGAGUGCACUAACUAAGGGAUUACGGAUAUGUGAGUUUGCAUCUGAAGCUAUCACGCGGUGUCCAGAAAUGCAUACUCCCCUGGCAAGAAUGAUCCGGCUCAUGCUGGGUCAAGGGGAAGAUGAAAUCAUGCAACUAAGCUCCUUCACAUCUUUAUCGGCGCCGCUCCUCCCCUCCACUCCUCCUCCUCCUCCUCCUCCUUCCUUGUCGCUGCCAGAGGGUGGGGCUAGGAGAAGCCUCGUUCGCCGCCACCGCAUGCAGGGAAGCUGGCACGGGCCGGCCAUCCCGGCUCUAGCCAUGGAGUUCUAG